This 280-nucleotide long non-coding RNA is filed under the name Lathyrus oleraceus (garden pea). RNAcentral's name for it is "Pisum sativum (pea) long non-coding RNA (PSAT_LNC032845)". Lineage: Eukaryota; Viridiplantae; Streptophyta; Magnoliopsida; Fabales; Fabaceae. The record is from RNAcentral.
CUUCAUUCACUCCACGUGAUAUACCUUUAUCUUUGAGCCAAAUACACUAUACCUUUGUGCUCCAUCUUGUACCUCUUUGUGAAUCAAGAGUUGUUUGGUCCUUAACCCAAACACCUAAUUCCUCUCUUUUUUCGGUUGUUCCAGUAUAGUGAUACAAGUGCUAUACACCCUCACUUGUCGGUUCAUACCUGUUUAUUCUUGGGUUCACGCUUUCACCCUUUUUGGAGUUCAAAUAACAUUAUUCUUUGGUUCAAACCAUACUUCGAUCACACUUCUUUUC